UUCACCAACUUUUCUCUCUAACUUAGGCAUCGGAAGGUCCCCACCAGACACAAAUCCGAUCUGCAUGGAUGCUGUUUUGCAAGUGUUCUUUCCCGACGAUAGGCGACGGAGAGUUGGCUGCAACAGAUUAGCGCGCCAAGUGAGAGGAAAACAACUUGCAAUGACGAAAACUAGAGCUCAAUGGUCAACAGCAAUCGAAUCGGUGAGGCACUCUUCCCGCC
RNAcentral lists this long non-coding RNA (221 nucleotides) under Elaeis guineensis (African oil palm). Its description in RNAcentral is "long non-coding RNA (EGUI_LNC015809)". The record is from RNAcentral. Lineage: Eukaryota; Viridiplantae; Streptophyta; Magnoliopsida; Arecales; Arecaceae.